Molecule: ribosomal RNA, 288 nt
Filed under: Eurytemora brodskyi
Lineage: Eukaryota; Metazoa; Arthropoda; Copepoda; Calanoida; Temoridae
Also listed under: 1 other name
Description: partial small subunit ribosomal RNA
Rfam family: Eukaryotic small subunit ribosomal RNA
Source: RNAcentral
UGACAGAUUGAUAGCUCUUUCUUGAUUUGGUGGGUGGUGGUGCAUGGCCGUUCUUAGUUGGUGGAGUGAUUUGUCUGGUUAAUUCCGAUAACGAACGAGACUCUGUCCUGUUAAAUAGAUCCAACCUAGAUCAAGGGUUGGAAUGUCUUCUUAGAGGGACUGGUGAUUAUUAGUCACACGAGAUUGAGCAAUAACAGGUCUGUGAUGCCCUUAGAUGUUCUGGGCCGCACACGCGCUACACUGAAGUGAUCAGCUAGUUACUCCCUCCCCGAGAGGGGCGGGUAAACU